This 69-nucleotide transfer RNA is filed under the name Brookesia perarmata. RNAcentral's name for it is "tRNA-Trp". Lineage: Eukaryota; Metazoa; Chordata; Lepidosauria; Squamata; Chamaeleonidae. The record is from RNAcentral.
AGGAACUUAGGAUUAUUUAAACCAAUAACCUUCAAAGUCAUUAAAAAGAGCACGACCUCUUAGUUCCUG